This 73-nucleotide transfer RNA is filed under the name Stegodyphus mimosarum. It matches the Rfam family "tRNA". From Rfam's summary of the family: Transfer RNA (tRNA) molecules are approximately 80 nucleotides in length. Their secondary structure includes four short double-helical elements and three loops (D, anti-codon, and T loops). Further hydrogen bonds mediate the characteristic L-shaped molecular structure. tRNAs have two regions of fundamental functional importance: the anti-codon, which is responsible for specific mRNA codon recognition, and the 3' end, to which the tRNAs corresponding amino acid is attached (by aminoacyl-tRNA synthetases). tRNAs cope with the degeneracy of the genetic code in two manners: having more than one tRNA (with a specific anti-codon) for a particular amino acid; and 'wobble' base-pairing, i.e. permitting non-standard base-pairing at the 3rd anti-codon position. The record is from Rfam by way of RNAcentral. Lineage: Eukaryota; Metazoa; Arthropoda; Arachnida; Araneae; Eresidae.
GCCUUCGUAGUGUACCGGUCAGCACGCUCGACGCAUAACCGAGAGGUCCGUGGUUCGAUUCCCGGCGAGAGCA